UGAUCUAGAAAUGCCAUAGUCGGUGUAGCC
RNAcentral lists this non-coding RNA (30 nucleotides) under Rattus norvegicus (Norway rat). Lineage: Eukaryota; Metazoa; Chordata; Mammalia; Rodentia; Muridae. The record is from RNAcentral.